GAUGAACGCUGGCGGCGUGCCUAAUACAUGCAAGUCGAGCGAACAGACGAGGAGCUUGCUCCUCUGACGUUAGCGGCGGACGGGUGAGUAACACGUGGAUAACCUACCUAUAAGACUGGGAUAACUUCGGGAAACCGGAGCUAAUACCGGAUAAUAUAUUGAACCGCAUGGUUCAAUAGUGAAAGACGGUUUUGCUGUCACUUAUAGAUGGAUCCGCGCCGCAUUAGCUAGUUGGUAAGGUAACGGCUUACCGAGGCAACGAUGCGUAGCCGACCUGAGAGGGUGAUCGGCCACACUGGAACUGAGACACGGUCCAGACUCCUACGGGAGGCAGCAGUAGGGAAUCUUCCGCAAUGGGCGAAAGCUUGACGGAGCUACGCCGCGUGAGUGAUGAAGGUCUUCGGAUCGUAAAACUCUGUUAUUAGGGAAGAACAAAUGUGUAAGUAACUAUGCACGUCUUGACGGUACCUAAUCAGAAAGCCACGGCUAACUACGUG
This 497-nucleotide ribosomal RNA is filed under the name uncultured bacterium. Its description in RNAcentral is "partial 16S ribosomal RNA". It matches the Rfam family "Bacterial small subunit ribosomal RNA", at positions 28 to 507 of the family's 1533-position model. The record is from RNAcentral.